Molecule: transfer-messenger RNA, 358 nt
Filed under: Gemmatimonadales
Lineage: Bacteria; Pseudomonadati; Gemmatimonadota; Gemmatimonadia
Also listed under: 1 other name
Description: 20CM-2-65-7 sp003221075 Standard tmRNA
Rfam family: transfer-messenger RNA
About the family: Bacterial tmRNA, also known as 10Sa RNA or SsrA, is named for its dual tRNA and mRNA-like properties. Its role is to liberate the mRNA from a stalled ribosome.
Source: RNAcentral
GGGGGCGACAGGCUUCGACGGGUUUGGUGAGGGUACUGUUGCGUGCCCAGGUUCUCAGUUACCUGGUUAAUCAACUGGGACUAUACACAAGCCAAUUCUGAACUGGCUCUGGCUGCGUAAGCUUCGGCUUCACGCACCUGCGUGAGUGGCAGCCCGCCUGAGGCGGCGCUCACGUAUCGCAAAGUCGGGCUGGCGGCACGUGGGGUCUCAACGCGUGCCGUAAGAGAUUUCAGAGGCUUGUUGCUACCAGGGCUGACAAGGCGCCGAGGUAGCGAGACUACCAAAGCCUAGUCUACGCACGUAGGAGCGGUAUCGGAGUCAUGCUCGGACCGGGGUUCAAUUCCCCGCGCCUCCAUUU